GGCAGCCAGAACUCAGUAGCCUAGGCUAGAACUGACUAUGCCUGUAACCAGGAGCAGAGUACCUUUAGAGAAGCAGCAUUUCCACCACCAGCAUGCCUAAAUAUUUCCUGGAAGCAAACAUUUUUUCAGCAUCUGCAUGCCAAAUAUUGUGGUAGAUAUUGGGCCCUCUCCUGGCAGGGCUCCCAAUCCCAGAGGGUGAGCUAAACACGUAUCUGUGACACAGAGACCAUGCCAUCUCUGCUAGCAGGAAAGAGGAGGGCAGGAUGCAGGUUGACAAGGUUUCAAGAUUUUCCCAACUGGUUUUGAAAGGCAACCUGUGGAGUAUUUCACAAAUGAGAAAACAGAGGUUCCAAAAGUUACUGGAAUCCAUGUUCUUACCUUCUUCCUGGAUAUGAAGAGGAAGCAGUGUGGGCCACUUCAAAGGCCUGGUCUCGUCCUGUCUGCCUGGCUGGGAUUGCAGUGUUCCCUGAGCAGUCUUGGAAGUGACUUAAUGAGUUGGCAAAGGCUCUGUCAGUCCGAGUCCCUAGAUGACCAUCCUAGGGAGGACUGCUCCACCUACCUCUUGCCCAGCCCAGAACUAUGAACUGAACAGGAAAUAAACUCCCAAUGUGAUUA
Heterocephalus glaber (naked mole-rat) is the source of this 615-nucleotide long non-coding RNA. RefSeq lists it as uncharacterized. The record is from RefSeq and is a predicted model, not a curated record. Lineage: Eukaryota; Metazoa; Chordata; Mammalia; Rodentia; Bathyergidae.